AUGACCUAUACCCAUAAACAUGUUUCCACAUCUGACACACAACCGUUCCUUGACGUUGGCUGAGUCUCACUCUCACGUGGUGGCCCGAACGUGAGGUGCACUCAAAUCAUACCUCAGGAGAUACUUCACCCAAUAUCUCCCCCCGAAGGUAAGUAUAUAAUUGAGUUACCGUGCCCCUCUCAUAGGCAGUCCACGAAAACCCCCACCACUACAGUGACCGUUUAAUAUACCACCAGACCCAUAAAAAUUCCAGUAACAUAGUAUGGCGAAUAAAAUAUAAUCCAGUCUACCAAGACCAAUCCAAAACUGUUCAUAUAUUUCAUGCCAACCCCAAAAAUUUAGCCAUCAUGCUACCAUAGUGUCAUAAGCCACAAUUUCAAUAACAUAUAAAAUCAUAAAUUUCAACACAGUCUCCAUAUACUCAAUUUUCCCAAAACAAUAUUUGAUUUCAAAAUCAGUAUAAAUCUCAUUUUUAUUAAAAAA
This 483-nucleotide long non-coding RNA is filed under the name Theobroma cacao (cacao). Its description in RNAcentral is "long non-coding RNA (TCAC_LNC005840)". Lineage: Eukaryota; Viridiplantae; Streptophyta; Magnoliopsida; Malvales; Malvaceae. The record is from RNAcentral.